Molecule: ribosomal RNA, 212 nt
Filed under: uncultured microorganism
Description: partial 16S ribosomal RNA
Rfam family: Bacterial small subunit ribosomal RNA
Source: RNAcentral
GAGUUUGAUCGUGGCUCAGGACGAACGCUGGCGGCGUGCUUAACACAUGCAAGUCGAACGAGAAUCUACUGAAAGAGUUUUCGGACAAUGGAAGUAGAGGAAAGUGGCGGACGGGUGAGUAACGCGUGAGGAACCUGCCUUGAAGAGGGGGACAACAGUUGGAAACGACUGCUAAUAACCGCCAUGAUGCAUAAGGGUCGGCAUGAUUCUUA